GGAGGGAUGGGUGAGUGGCUUAAACCAACAGUUUGCUAAACUGUCGUGCGGGCAACUGCACCGGGGGUUCGAAUCCCCCUCCCUCCGCCA
This 90-nucleotide transfer RNA is filed under the name Tannerellaceae bacterium. RNAcentral describes it as "tRNA-Ser". It matches the Rfam family "tRNA". Rfam says of the family: Transfer RNA (tRNA) molecules are approximately 80 nucleotides in length. Their secondary structure includes four short double-helical elements and three loops (D, anti-codon, and T loops). Lineage: Bacteria; Pseudomonadati; Bacteroidota; Bacteroidia; Bacteroidales; Tannerellaceae. The record is from RNAcentral.